RNAcentral lists this ribosomal RNA (497 nucleotides) under uncultured bacterium. Its description in RNAcentral is "partial 16S ribosomal RNA". It matches the Rfam family "Bacterial small subunit ribosomal RNA", at positions 28 to 507 of the family's 1533-position model. The record is from RNAcentral.
GAUGAACGCUGGCGGCGUGCCUAAUACAUGCAAGUCGAGCGAACGGACGAGAAUCUUGCUUCUCUUAUGUUAGCGGCGGACGGGUGAGUAACACGUGGAUAACCUUCCUAUAAGACUGGGAUAACUUCGGGAACCCGGAGCUCAUACCAGAUCAUAUUUUGAACCUCAUGGUUCAAAAGUAAAAUACUGUCUUUCUGUCGCUUAUAGGUGGAUCCGCGCUUCAUUGGCUAGUUGUCAAGGUAACGGCUUACCAAGGCAACGAUGCAUAGCCGAACUGAGAGGCUGAUCGCCCACACUGGAACGUAGACACCGUCCAUAGUACUACGGGAGGGAGCAGUAGGGAACCUUACGCAACGGGCGAAAGCCUGACGGAGCAACGCCGAGUGAGUGAUGAAGGUCUUCGGAUCGUAAAACUCUGUUAUUAGGGAAGAACAUAUGUGUAAGGAAAUGUACACAUAUUGACGGUACCUAAACAGAAAGCAACGGCUAACUACGUG